This 465-nucleotide ribosomal RNA is filed under the name uncultured Bifidobacterium sp. Its description in RNAcentral is "bacterial SSU rRNA". It matches the Rfam family "Bacterial small subunit ribosomal RNA", at positions 204 to 684 of the family's 1533-position model. Lineage: Bacteria; Bacillati; Actinomycetota; Actinomycetes; Bifidobacteriales; Bifidobacteriaceae. The record is from RNAcentral.
AAGCUUUCGCGGUAUGGGAUGGGGUCGCGUCCUAUCAGCUUGACGGCGGGGUAACGGCCCACCGUGGCUUCGACGGGUAGCCGGCCUGAGAGGGCGACCGGCCACAUUGGGACUGAGAUACGGCCCAGACUCCUACGGGAGGCAGCAGUGGGGAAUAUUGCACAAUGGGCGCAAGCCUGAUGCAGCGACGCCGCGUGAGGGAUGGAGGCCUUCGGGUUGUAAACCUCUUUUAUCGGGGAGCAAGCGUGAGUGAGUUUACCCGUUGAAUAAGCACCGGCUAACUACGUGCCAGCAGCCGCGGUAAUACGUAGGGUGCAAGCGUUAUCCGGAAUUAUUGGGCGUAAAGGGCUCGUAGGCGGUUCGUCGCGUCCGGUGUGAAAGUCCAUCGCUUAACGGUGGAUCCGCGCCGGGUACGGGCGGGCUUGAGUGCGGUAGGGGAGACUGGAAUUCCCGGUGUAACGGUGG